RNAcentral lists this long non-coding RNA (571 nucleotides) under Capsella grandiflora. Its description in RNAcentral is "long non-coding RNA (CGRA_LNC000048)". The record is from RNAcentral. Lineage: Eukaryota; Viridiplantae; Streptophyta; Magnoliopsida; Brassicales; Brassicaceae.
AAUAAUCAAACGAACAAAACUAAUGUGGGUAAUGUCCAAAUAGAUUUAAACGAGACAACUCUAAUUUUGACAUAAGACAGUUUUAUCAGUUUGCUAUGUCGUUCCGGUUAAAUUUGGGGUUUUACUUAAAACACACAUCUCUCUCUGUUAUUUUUAUUCAUUAGCAUUUCUAAUUUCUAUUUAUGGAUAAGAUUAUAAUGACAAACGAUAGAUUUAGAAAAAUCAUUUUUUUCAGAUGAUCUAGAAAUCUAAUUCGAAUGGCUAGGAACUAGCAAUUACACUAUUUCGGUUACCUACGAACAAUGAACAUGAUCGCAAAUUAGUUUAUAAAUCACAUUCAAAUGGAUAGGAACUGGCAAUUACACAAUUAGAGCUUACUAUCAAGUAUGAACAAGAUGUCAAAAUUAGGUUACGCUCGCAAUUAUUUCAAUCAAAAAAUGGAAAGCAAAAAAAAUAAAAAUAGAGAAGAUAGAGAGAGGCCUUAGGUUAAUGAAGGAGUUUGCUGGAAUAGAAAAAAAAGGUUAAUGAUGAUCAACGAGGAAGACAAGAUUAGCAUUUGCAGUAUCUCUUN